AUCCGGCUGAUGAGUCCCAAAUAGGACGAAACGCGUAUCCUAGAU
This 45-nucleotide non-coding RNA is filed under the name Schistosoma margrebowiei. Lineage: Eukaryota; Metazoa; Platyhelminthes; Trematoda; Strigeidida; Schistosomatidae. The record is from RNAcentral.